Molecule: ribosomal RNA, 292 nt
Filed under: uncultured bacterium
Lineage: Bacteria
Description: partial 16S ribosomal RNA
Rfam family: Bacterial small subunit ribosomal RNA
Source: RNAcentral
GUGUCAGCAGCCGCGGUAAUACAGAGGUCCCAAGCGUUGUUCGGAUUCACUGGGCGUAAAGGGUGCGUAGGUGGCGGGGUAAGUCUGAUGUGAAAUCUCCGAGCUUAACUCGGAAACUGCAUCGGAUACUGCCUUGCUCGAGGGUUGGAGGGGGGACUGGAAUACUUGGUGUAGCAGUGAAAUGCGUAGAUAUCAAGUGGAACACCAGUGGCGAAGGCGAGUCCCUGGACAACUCCUGACACUGAGGCACGAAAGCUAGGGGAGCAAACAGGAUUAGAUACCCUGGUAGUCC